This 422-nucleotide ribosomal RNA is filed under the name uncultured archaeon. RNAcentral's name for it is "partial 16S ribosomal RNA". It matches the Rfam family "Archaeal small subunit ribosomal RNA", at positions 323 to 746 of the family's 1478-position model. The record is from RNAcentral.
CUACGGGCCGCUCCAGGCGAGAAAACUUUGCAAUGUGCGAAAGCACGACAAGGUUAAUCCGAGUGGUUUCUGCUAAAGGAACCUUUUGACAGUCCUAGAAACACUGUUGAAUAAGGGGUGGGCAAGUUCUGGUGUCAGCCGCCGCGGUAAAACCAGCACCUCAAGUGGUCAGGAUGAUUAUUGGGCCUAAAGCAUCCGUAGCCGGCUCUGUAAGUUUUCGGUUAAAUCUGUACGCUCAACGUAUAGGCUGCCGGGAAUACUGCAGAGCUAGGGAGUGGGAGAGGUAGACGGUACUCGGUAGGAAGGGGUAAAAUCCUUUGAUCUAUUGAUGACCACCUGUGGCGAAGGCGGUCUACCAGAACACGUCCGACGGUGAGGGAUGAAAGCUGGGGGAGCAAACCGGAUUAGAUACCCCCGUAGUC